Long non-coding RNA from Suricata suricatta (meerkat), 529 nucleotides. RefSeq lists it as uncharacterized. The transcript has 3 exons. The record is from RefSeq and is a predicted model, not a curated record. Lineage: Eukaryota; Metazoa; Chordata; Mammalia; Carnivora; Herpestidae.
ACCUGCCCCAGCGACAGCCCCGGAAAGCCGGCCUCGGCUCCCAGGACGCAGCUCAGGAGUGCGAAGGAGGCUCCAGUUAAGCAGAUCCAAUAAACAAGAAGUGAAGACAGGGUCUUGAGGAAGCCCCCUCCCUUGGACAUGAGUCUGGAAUCUGACGUCUCAUUUCAUGCAUCCUGACUUUCCAGAGGCUGGGGAGGACAAGAUCAAGGCACCAGCCAGCUUGGUUCAUGGCGAGAGAGGCUCUCUUCCUGGCUUGAGGACGGUCACCUUCUCAUCGUGUCCUCCCGUGGGGAGAAAGAGCAAGCUGUCUGGUCUCUUCUUGUAAACACAUGAAUUCCAUCAGAUCAGGGCCACCCUAGGACCUCAAUUAACGUUAAUUAUCUCCUUAUUGGCUCUAUCUCAAGACACACACUGGGACACUGGAGCUUCAACGUAUGAGCCUCAGGGGUACAGAAUUCGGUCCCUAGCAGGUAUGGUCUCAGAUUUAGAACGGAACUAAGUUUUAAGAAACUGUCAACUUCUGGUGUGA